Molecule: long non-coding RNA, 8194 nt
Organism: Equus caballus (horse)
Lineage: Eukaryota; Metazoa; Chordata; Mammalia; Perissodactyla; Equidae
Source: Ensembl
CCGGGGCGCGCGCCCGAGCGUCUCCGGGUCGCGGUCCCUCAGCGCGGCCGGCGGCGCCCUCAGACCGGCGGGCCGGGUCUCGUGUCCGCCCCCCGGUCGCCUCCGCCCCGAGCGCGGCUCCUCAGGCGAGGCUCCCGGACGCGCGGGGGUCGGCGGAAGGCGCGGGCCGGGGGCGCACGCCCCGCAGCGGGGAGCCGAGGCCGAGGCGGCGCGGCCGCGGGGUCCGGCCGGCGCGUUUCCCGCCCGGCUGUGGUCCGAGGCGUCCGCCGGCGGAAGCCCCCCAGCCCUGCUGCUUCGCUCACUUAACUAGGCCGCCAGCUGGAGCGCGUCUGGGGGCGACGGCAGGGCCCCAGGAGGCCGGGCCGGGGCCUGGCGGCCGGACGCACGGACCCCCUCGGGCCCUUCGCGGCCCGGGGCGCGUGACCCCCGCUCCGGUUCCAUCCGGAACCUGCAGAGUCGCGGCGGCAGCGUCGGCCCCGCAAGGAGGGAGGUUGGGGAGGGUUAGACGGGUUAACAGGCAGAGCCCCGCGCUGCUGUGCCGCUGGGAAGUAAGAUGCCCUGUUUCCCGGGGGCUUCAAGGCAGCAAAGAGCCGCUUAGGAUCCGGGGCGAGGGCGUGUGUUCCGUGGAUGAUGGGGUCGCCGCAACAGCGGCCCGUCAGAUGCCACGUCCACCGCGGAGCUGGGGGCGGGUUGCCCUCCCCGGCGAAAGGGACGUUGCAGAGAUGCUGCAGGAUCCUGGCGGAGGGAGAGCCUGGGGUGUCCGGGUGGGCCCGUGGUGAUCCCGAGGUUAAGUGCGGGAGCGGGGCGAGGGGAGGAGCCGUGAGGGUGGAGGCCGUCCGUGUGCCUUCACCGCCCCUAAACCGGAUGCCCCCGAAAAGGCAGCUGCCGGUGCGCCUGCUGCUUUCGGGCCGUGGGGUUUUCCCGCUGGCUGCUUUAUAAGGUGUUCUUCUCGUAGGUUUGAUUUCUGCUCCUGUGCUAUGUAUGUUUGGGAGCGUGUUCCUUUUUAUUUAUGGUGCUUGAGAUACACCGGACCUCCUGAAUGUGUUGAUCAGUGCCUUUCAUGGGUUCUGGGAAAUUUUCAGCCGUUACCUCUUCACAUGCUGCUUCUGCCCCCACUUUCUUCUCUCCUUCUGUAACUCCAAUUAGGUGUCUGUCAGAUCUUUUCCAUCCACUGUUUCUCUUACCUUCUCUUUUUUUAUAUUUUCUAGAUUACUAAUUCUCUCUUCUAUGGUGUUAAACUUAUGUAUUGAGCUAUUUUGGGGGGGGAGAGGGAAUUUUAGGUUCUAGAAUUUCUACUUGAUUCUUUUAAAAAUCUGUUCGAUUCAUUAUUUUUCUUUAAAGAUUGGCACCUGAGCUAACAUCUGUUGCCAAUCUUUUUUUUCCCUUCUUCUCCCCAAAGCUGUCCAGUCCAUAGUUGCAUAUUCUAGUUGUAGGUCCUUCUAGCUGUGCUAUGUGGGACGCUGCCUCAGCAUGGCCUGAUGAGCGGUGCCAUGUCCAAUCCCGGGAUCCGAACUAUCGAAACCCUGGGCCGGCGAAGUGGAGCACUCGAACUUAACCGCUUGGCCCCAGGGCCGGCCCCUAGAUUCAUUUUUAUAAUGGCUAACUCUUUGCCAAAAUUGUCAAUCUUGGCUUUUAUCUCUUUGAAUAUAGUAGGCAUCGUUGGUGUCCAGUCUGGGUCUCUGAUAGGUCCAAUAUCUGGAGUCCCAGUGGGUCUGUUGUAGGUUCUUCGUUCUAGUUAUUUGUUGUGUAUUGUUUAAGCUGGUUCUUGCUCCUGUUGUCACCUGUCUUUGUAUGCUAGACAUUGUAACAGAAACACUUGAAACCCUAGUGAAACAUAUGAUGAUUUCUUUUCCCCACAGAGGAUUUCAUUUUCUUCUGGCCGGUGCCUCAGGAUGCCAACAAACAGGAUCACUCUAAUCCAGAGCGUUGGGCACUUGGGGGGACUGAUUUAGUCUGGUUCACUCCACCUUCCAGGGUGCUGUCCUUCUGAGGACCAGCUGAAAACAGGUUUACCAGAGUCACCACUCUUGACAGGUCCUAGACUCCAUAUUUUGUUCCCUAGAUUGCUUCUGAAUCUGGAAAUGCCCCCAGGGCAAAAGUGCUCUGCAUGUGUGGACCCUGUCCUCUUCUGCUUCUUGGCCAGCUAAUUUCUCACUCACUACCUGGUUAGCUUUUGAUGAUUUAAAAAUGUUGUUACAGGGUACCUCCAUACUUGGCAAUGUUCAAAAAAUGAAAUAUUAUUAUAGAUUACAAAGGAUAACGCGUAAUAAUAAUGACAACAAUGACAAAAAACUCUACCACUUAUUGAGUACCUUCUGCGUACCAGCCUCUUGGUUGGACCUCUUAUAGUCCUUAAUGUAAGUAGAGGAAAGAUUGGAGACUUGGGUUCUUGUCCUGGCUUGACAACUGAUGAGCCAAGUAACUUAGACAAGACCAACCUCAAGUCCUCCAUGAAGAUCCCUCUCAGUUCUUAAAUUCUGUUAUUCAAAUCUACAUAGAAUUGAACGUCCAAGGCGCCUUGGGAGGAACUUGCCGGUGGUAUGUUAAAUGUUGCAGAGGAACUUCCUGCUAGCCCACCUGCGUUAGUUUCCUAUUGUUGCUAUAACAAAUUACCACAAAUGUAGUGGCUUGGAACAAUGCAAAUUUGUCAUCUUACAGUUCUGGAGAUCGGAAGUCCCAGACGGAUCUCACUGGGCUGACAUCAAGGUGUUGGCGGGGCACUCCUGGAGGCUCUAGAGGAGAAUCCGUUUUCUUACCUUUUCCAUCUUAUAGAGGCUGCCCACAUUCAUUCUUUGGCUGUGAUCCCCUUCCCACAGUUGCAUCACUCCAAGAAUAUAAACAAUAUAAAAUCAAAGUAUUUUAGAAGAGUGGCAAAGAGGCUGGAAAGGAGAUAAAUAAUGUUCUAAGGUUCUCUGUACAUCUGCAGCUUCUCUUUAUAGAGAACUUGCUCUCCGUUUCCUUGCACGCGGCUGUGAGACACUGGCGUCCUCAGCUCCAGAGUUCAGAUAACCACCAUUCCAAAAAAUGGCCAGCUGUUUUAGUUUCAGUUACAAAAUCUAAGGAGAAAGCAACUGACUAGCUCAGUUUUUAUCGGAGUCUACUCCUAGUCCAAUCAAGUUUGUCUAGGGGUGGGGUGGCAGAGUGAAAAUGUGGCUUGCAAAUUCUACUCUGUCAGUUAGGAAGGGUGGAGAAUUGUCAGUGAAAGAUGGUUGCUUUGAGCUAAGCAGACACCCCAAAGGUUGUGUAACACGUUCCACCUAUUGGAUGGCAGCACACAGACGAAGGCCUGAUGGUUGGGAGAGGCAGAUUCAAAUCCAUAAGUAUUUAAUACAUGCUGUCAUUCUGGCUUGCUCCAAAUAAGCCAAUGUCAUAAUCUCUGUAGGAACAUGAUUUUGGUUCUAAGAGACCACAGGCCAUAGUUUAGCCCUGUGGUCCCCAAUCUUUUUAAAAUAUUCCUCUCAGUAUGACCUUUUUAAACAUGCACCCAUAAUAUAUGAAUAUGUAAAUAUUUUAUUAAGGCAUUUCAUGUGAACAUUUUUAUACCGUGAACAAACAUGCAAAUAUAAAAUUUUAAAGAGUGAAAUGAACAAGAUUUUUAAAUGUCUUGCUAAUCAUAAUGGCUUCAUAUUAUCAUUGGUGGAUGUAAAUCCAUAUUUCAAAUAGUCGUCUUGAAAUUUUUGAGCCUCCUCGUGUCAAGUCUGGUUACAUCAUCAUUGUUUUCAUCUCAGUAUGUGGCUGACAAGAGUUCGUACCAGAAGUGGACAAGUGUUGGCUCUGCCGUUUUCUUGUAUUUCAGUUGUACUUUCAUUAUUAGUAUCAGUUAUUUACCAUGGUUUCUUAGGAUUCUUUUUAAGACACUCAGGCGUUUUGUGAUGGUUAGCUUAGUUAAAACUGGAAAAUAUAAUCUAUGAGUUGAUGUAACUGGACUCUCAAACUGCCAGCUGUCAUAAUAUACUAUCACGUGAAGUGUAUUAAGUGCCUGUGUGAGGGAUCCCUUUAGAAUCCUCUGCAUUGGAGGGGGAAUCCCCCUCUUUCCUCAGGAUUGCCCUCAGUGAGAGGGAUUAUGUAGAAAGUGAAAGAAGUUAAUGAUUCAAAGCUCCUCGCUUUCAUGGGCCCCUAAUCCUUUCCAUUCCACUUUCCCCUCUGUCAUACAUCCAUCCUUCGUGUUGGAUGGGUGUUGGACUGGCAGCGGGCAUCUUUUGGGAUCUAAGUGGAAGCUGAAUGGGCUGGUGCAUUUAAUUUGGGUUUAAUGGAAAAGAUGUAUGUGUAAGUUAUCAUUAGCCUUCCUGAUGUAGGAAUGCUUUCCAGGAAUAUUUUUACACUGCCGACUCAUCUAGCUCCUGGGACACGAAGAUGCAAGGCCAGAGGUCAGAUCGUGAUCUGAGUGUGUCCAACCAUGCUGGGUACUAGGAGGAUGGGGGUAGUGGAGGAGAAACAAUUCGAAAUGUAUGGAAUCAGAUACUGUUCUUUAGAGAAUUUGUCUAAAGAGACAUGCAAAAUUAUAAGUGGAAGAUUUGGUUCUCAUUAAUGCCUAGUCAAAAUGGAAGUCUCUACUGGCAGGAAUACACUAAAUAAUGAGGCAUAUAAAAUUAACAACUCACCACACAUUUUUUCUUUCUUUUUUUUUUUUAGAUUGGCACCUGAGCUAACAACUGUUGCAAAUCUUUUUUUUUCUCCCCAAAUCCCCCCAGUAUAUAGUUGUAUAUAUAUAUUUUUUUAGUUGUGGGUCCUUCUAGUUGUGGCAUGUGGGAUACCACCUCAGCGUGGCCUGAUGAGCAGUACCAUGUCUGCACCCAGAGUCCAAACCGGCAAAACCCUGGGCCACCAAAGCAGAGCAUGCAAAGUUAACCACUUGACCACGGGGCCAGCCCCCCAUUUUUUCUCUCCUUAUGAGAAAAAUCACAUGAAAUUGAAAUUUCUGUGUUUCUUUUCUUCUUCUAAAUAACAAUUUGCUUUCAUUCCUUAUUUUGGAUUCAUAAUUUUUUGUUCUUUUUCUUUAAGAAAGCUCCCAAAAUACGGUUGUAUCAGGCCACAAAAAACCUAGAUUCAUGCCUGCCACAUACCUGAGUGACAUGAAACCAUUUGACAUAUGAAUUAAGUAAGAACAAUAGUGUCAAUUCAUAUAUUAAAUAGUCGUUAAACUUAAUUUUUCAAUUUUUUAAAUAAAAAAUAUAAAAGUAUGUGGUCUAAUAUGUUUCCAUAUCUCAGUGAUGAGAUUUGUAUGCUCCCCUUCAGAGACAAUGGGUCAAACCAACUAUUUUGCUAUGGUUGAAUAAGAAAGGCUUGCUGCACGCCUAGAAAAAUGGGGCAUCCCACCCUCCACUGCCUCUCCUUGAAUUGGUCACUCACACAUUUCAAGCACUGCACUUCUGUCACCAAGUUCUGUUAGACUGAACCAUAUAAAAUUGUAGUUUUUAUAGGUCAAAAAUGGUCUAACAUUGGAAAAUUCAUAGGUUCACCAUAGUAUAUCAUUUAGGAUGCAUUCAGCUGCAUGUAAAAGAAACAAGACUCAAAUUGACAUAAACAAUAAGGAAACAUAUUGUGAGGAUAUUGGUGAACUCACAAAAUUGACUAAAAGGCUUUAGAAGCAAGUUUGGAAAACAGGCAGAAACCAAAGAAGGCAAAGUAGAGGUUUGAGACCCAACUCUGUCAUUUUGACCCAACUGUGCCAUUUUGAGCAAGAGUUACUUAACCUCAAUGGGACCUGUUGAAAAAAAUGGGGAUAAUAAUAUCUACCUCAAAUGGAGCAUUAGGUUAAGGAUGAGAGGAAUGGAAAGGGGCCAACAAUUAUUGAGCAUAGAGUAAUGUGUGCCAGUCCCUGAGAUGAAUGCUUUAUAUGCAUCAACUCAAAUUAGAAAGUAUAUGUACAGUGUGGGGGAUGGGGGAGUUGGUAAUCCUUAGAAGCACAGAUAUCACUUUAGCAUUCUCUGGGAGGAUGUGUCAGUCACAACCUAGCAGGAAAGAGAUGGCACACUCAACGGGAAAAAUGGAGGAGAAUUUAAUGGAGUAACCAUUUAUGAGGGUGUGGGCAGAGUUAGGAGACACCAAUAAAGGAUGAUGAAGCACUGUAGGGCAAGCCUGGAGGGACAAAGGAGUAGUCAGCAACUAAAACUCAGGAAGAGACGUGUGAGAGCAGGUGCCCGACUCUGCUGUGGCCUGCCGUGGAGGCACAGUGCAGAGCACCCGGAAAACAAAGACCUGAUAUUACUCCUCUCUCGACCUUAGACCUCCUAGUAGGGCCUCCCAUCAGUUAAACCCAACUGGAAGUCAGAGGGAAAGAGGUACCAUUGAUAUGGUCCAAGAAGGUCACCCACUGGGGCAGAGAGCAGGGUGGAAAAGGGUGGAAAGUGGAUUCGCAGGGGCAGAGGAGAAUAUCUAGCACAGAAAGUGUAGAAAUGAGCAAAGUUACCUCGUAUAUAUGUUCUCUUGUGGGAUCAGAAAGAUUUAAUCCACCUGUUUGGAGACCAGGGACUUCAGAGAAAGGAUCUUUCUAGGCUGGGCUUACAUCAGAACCUGCCUUGUUCUAAAUUCUAGCUCAAGGGUGAUGAGAUUAGAGUGUGUUAGUCAACUCUGAUUAAGCCUUCCACAAGGCCAAUUCAGUGAUUAAAUUAACAGUGAGCACUUACACCAGUUUUUAAAAAUGUCUGCUCGUCACUCAAAGUCAAGAAGAAAUGUUGCAUCUCAAGAGCUAGGUAAGCUGUUAUGGAGCAUGGGUUCUGACUAGCAAGCUGCUGUAUCCCAAACUCCAUCUCAUUUUCAUGGAUCCUCCCCAAAUUAAGCUAAUCCUGCCACUCACCCCUUUUUCUGUAUGUGGUCUCUCUUCUUCAGUAAACAAUCCCGAUUACAUGGGGCCAGGAAUGGAACUACCUAGAUCAAGUUACAAACUCUGCACUAGCCUCCAACAGCAUUAAGAUGGGCCUUGGAAGCAAGCAGAGCUGAAGAAAAGAAGCUAGGACAGCAUUGUGACCUGGUUCUGGCCAAUGCAACCUCGUUGGAAUUCUGCUAGGAGCACAGGAGAAAAGUGUUUGCUUUCUUCGUACGUAGGAUAGAUAUAAACUUUCUCCCUGCCCUCUCCCUUUUUUCAGCCUUGAAUGUAAACUUGGUACCUAAUGGCCUUAUGGCAACCAUAUUGCAACCAAGAGGCAAUAAAUAUGUAGGCAAAAGCCAGCAUGAUAAAGAGAGUAGAAUAGACAGAGAUAGCCUGUGCUAAAGCUCUGUUCUGGAGUAUGAUAGAGCUAUUAAAUAACUUCAGACGUUGUUAGAAAAAAAUUGUAUGUUAUACUGUUAUAUAUGUUAAAUACAUUAUUCAAAAAAUUAAAGGUAACCUCCAAAAUCAGAGAGACAUGAUAUAUAGCCUUCACACCAGGAGAAAAAAGGUGGGGAGAUGGAAAUUUUUGCUAAUCUAACUGGAACCAGGAAAGGAGAAAAGAAAGAAAAAUAGAAGUAUAAAUAGAAAACACAAAAUAGGAUGAUAGUGUAUGUCCAAAUACAUCAGAACACAACCAGUGCAUCUCCAACUACACUCACCAAUUCAAAGACUUAGGUUAGGGGCUGGCCCGAUGGUACAGCGGUUAAGUGCGCACGUUCCACUUCAGCGGCCUGGGGUUCACUGGUUCAGAUGCCGGGUGCAGACAUGGCACCACUUGGCUAAGCCAUGCUGUGGUAGGCGUCCCACAUAUAAAGUAGAGGAAGAUGGGCACAAUGUUGGCUCAGGGCCAGUCUUCCUCAGCAAAAAGAGGAGGAUUGGCAGCAGUUAGGUCAGGGCUAAUCUUCCUCAAAAAAAAAAAAGAUUAUCAGAGUCAAUUUGAUGUUGAAAUCGUCCAGAAGACAUAGCUAAGCAAAGACUUGCAGGAGGGUUGAAAAUGAAGGGAUACGAAAGGAGCAGCAGGAGGUACUGGCUGAACCACAGAGAGCAUGGCUCUAUUAAGAUCGGGUAAAAGAGAACUUAGCCACUAAUAAAAAUAAAGAUAGGAAUAGAUCCUUUAAAGAAAUGUAGGAAUGCAUGAAAAAGUACAGAGUAGAAGAGAAAUCACUGUGUAGAGGCAACUACUGUUAACAUUUUGGAUAUUUUCUUUGAAUAUUUUCCUUUGCUUUUUCCAUGACUGGAAAUAGCUGUGUAUUUUUUUAUGCCAUAGAAAAUUAAUAUAUGAUAAUUAUGGAAAAAUUUUGACAAUGCCUAAAAGUAAAAAGGGGA